UUAGGAAUUUUGGGCAAUGGGCGCAAGCCUGACCCAGCAACGCCGCGUGGGUGACGAAGGCCUUCGGGUUGUAAAGCCCUUUUCUGAGGGAAGAUGAUGACGGUACCUCAGGAAGAAGCACCGGCUAACUACGUGCCAGCAGCCGCGGUAAUACGUAGGGUGCGAGCGUUGCCCGGAUUUAUUGGGCGUAAAGGGCGCGUAGGCGGCCACGCACGUCCGUUGUGAAAUCGCCCGGCUCAACUGGGCGGGGUCAGCGGAUACGGUGUGGCUAGAGCAAGCUAGGGGGCAAUGGAAUUCCCGGUGUAGUGGUGGAAUGCGUAGAUAUCGGGAGGAACACCAGUGGCGAAGGCGGUUGCCUGGAGCUUUGCUGACGCUGAUGCGCGAAAGCGUGGGGAGCGAUCCG
Molecule: ribosomal RNA, 403 nt
Filed under: uncultured bacterium
Lineage: Bacteria
Description: bacterial SSU rRNA
Rfam family: Bacterial small subunit ribosomal RNA
Source: RNAcentral